Molecule: non-coding RNA, 111 nt
Filed under: human gut metagenome
Description: THF riboswitch
Rfam family: THF (Tetrahydrofolate) riboswitch aptamer
About the family: THF riboswitch presents a pseudoknot that joins P1-P2 and the loop of P3 and two THF binding.
Source: RNAcentral
GCAGAGUAGAUAUCAGUGCGUUAAGUGCUGCCGGAACGGGGAGUUGACCGGCGGACGAAAGGAACUGGAUGGAACAUCCAAUCCUGCGGUACUGAAUUCGCAUCCCGCUGC